RNAcentral lists this transfer RNA (69 nucleotides) under Marmota marmota marmota (Alpine marmot). It matches the Rfam family "tRNA". Rfam says of the family: Transfer RNA (tRNA) molecules are approximately 80 nucleotides in length. The record is from Rfam by way of RNAcentral. RNAcentral also lists the same sequence under 1 other name. Lineage: Eukaryota; Metazoa; Chordata; Mammalia; Rodentia; Sciuridae.
GGAGCUAUAGCUCAGUGGCAGAGCACUUGCCUAGUAUGCAUGAGGCUCUGGGUUCCAUCCUUAGCACCA